This 207-nucleotide ribosomal RNA is filed under the name uncultured bacterium. RNAcentral's name for it is "partial 16S ribosomal RNA". It matches the Rfam family "Bacterial small subunit ribosomal RNA", at positions 568 to 774 of the family's 1533-position model. The record is from RNAcentral.
AGCGUAGGCGGACAUUUAAGUCAGGGGUGAAAUCCCGGGGCUCAACCUCGGAAUUGCCUUUGAUACUGGGUGUCUUGAGUAUGAGAGAGGUGUGUGGAACUCCGAGUGUAGAGGUGAAAUUCGUAGAUAUUCGGAAGAACACCAGUGGCGAAGGCGACACAUUGGCUCAUUACUGACGCUGAGGCUCGAAAGCGUGGGGAGCAAACA